GCCCAAUUAACACUCAGGUGAGCCCAGGUGAGGUACAGGGGGAUGUUACCUACACCAGGUGAGUGCAGUCCUCGCCCCAGUCCGGCCGGUACUGAGCCCAGGUGAGCCCAGGUGAGCCCAGGUGAGCUCAGGUGACCCCAGGUGUGCCCAGGUGAGCUCAGGUGACCCCAGGUGUGCCCAGGUGACCCCAGGUAAGGUCACAAAGGUGUUACCUACACCAGGUGAGUGCAGUCCUCGCCCCAGUCCGGCCGGUACUGAGCCCAGGUGAGCUCAGGUAACCCCAAUUAACACUCAGGUGACCCCAGGUAAGGUAGGGUGGGUGUUACCUACACC
This is a long non-coding RNA of Catharus ustulatus (Swainson's thrush), 333 nucleotides long. RefSeq lists it as uncharacterized. The record is from RefSeq and is a predicted model, not a curated record. NCBI's taxonomy places the organism in Eukaryota, Metazoa, Chordata, Aves, Passeriformes, Turdidae. The transcript is spliced from 3 exons.